Long non-coding RNA from Hirundo rustica (Barn swallow), 1342 nucleotides. RefSeq lists it as uncharacterized. NCBI's taxonomy places the organism in Eukaryota, Metazoa, Chordata, Aves, Passeriformes, Hirundinidae. The record is from RefSeq and is a predicted model, not a curated record. The transcript has 4 exons.
GUCAAAUUUGGGUUUUUCUCUCUUUAGUGGCUUGGUAGGGUGCAGAGCUCUUUGUCAGACUCCCCUUUAGUAAAUCCUCAGUUAUACCCACUCAGGGAGUUGGCUCUUCUUCUGUUGCUGCUGUUGUCAAGAGUGCCAUCAGGUCCACUUGCUGGUGCGGGAAUCCAAGGCCCCGCAGGAAGGAGGUUGCCUGCCCAGCCCUGUGACCCCAACCUAAGAUGCGUCAGCUGCAGUGAAAUAUCUGAGCUAGCCCGCGGUCUGCGCCUACCAGACGUUUUGGGACACUGCGGCACCCAACCUUUGUUAAGAUCAUUAGCAAGCGUUUUGAAUGUGACUGGUUUGCCAUACAAGCUGUGAAACUCGUGCUGGUGGGGUUUUGUUAGUCAGUGGUGUGCUUCACUGAAGGCAGAAGAGGAGAGAUAGGGGGCAAAGGAUUAGCCUUCAUUAAUACACCUGGUAUUAAAGAAGAAAGCUCUUAUAUUUGGCUCUGAGAUGACCGUGCUUCAAUCGUUUCUGUGUGGUUUCCAAUCAAAGGAACAGCGUGGUGAGGGAUGGUUGCCAUUUCUGAUAUCUAACGUGCUUUACACCUGUGGGAACCCAGCUCAGUGGGUGAAAGGAAGAAGAUGCUGCUGCUGAGCCAGAUAAGCAAGCUGGGAAUACAGAACCUGUUACCUUGCCACCUCAGAAACAGCAGUGUCCUUUGAGCCCUAGAUUACAGCAUUUAAGAGCUGGAGGUUUUUCUUUAACUUUCAAAUAGAACUUUGCUGGUUACUGAGACUGUGAAGAUGCCCUCUUUUUUUCCUCCUCCUUCCCACUUGAUCAAUGGCAAGCACGAAGAACUCCCAAUAUCUUCCUUGCCCACUUGAGCUCUCUGUGAUUUCAAUCUAAGACAUUCUCAGUUAGAUUCGGCCCGAUAAAGAUCUCGGAGAAGCUGAGCGCAAGGCACUGGAGUUAGAAAUCACCACUGUCUGGGAAGAGCUGAAAACUCAAUCUAGUUCAUGUGGCCUCUGAGAGGAUGAGGCCUCAAUCCUGCAGUGACGCAGAGCAAUAAUCUGUAGAGCUUUCUUGGCGUCGCGCUCAGAGAGCCCCUCAGCCUGGGACCUGGCUGCUGCUUUCCCAUCUCCACAGGGCUGCUUGGCUGAAGGAAGCACAAGCUAUCAUUUAUACACUUGGUGCAAGCACACCCUUACACAUAUAAUGUAUAUUUAGCAUGCCUUAAUAAAACAUUGAAUAUAACAAACAGUGGCAAUGAAAAUUACAUGCUCUUAUAAACAUUUUUAUUUUAAACAACAUUUUGCGCUGUGAUGCGGCAGAGGCAUCUACAACAUAAUCAGCCCCGUAA